GAUUGAACGCUGGCGGCAUGCCUUACACAUGCAAGUCGAACGGCAGCACGGGUGCUUGCACCUGGUGGCGAGUGGCGAACGGGUGAGUAAUACAUCGGAACAUGUCCUGUAGUGGGGGAUAGCCCGGCGAAAGCCGGAUUAAUACCGCAUACGAUCUACGGAUGAAAGCGGGGGACCUUCGGGCCUCGCGCUAUAGGGUUGGCCGAUGGCUGAUUAGCUAGUUGGUGGGGUAAAGGCCUACCAAGGCGACGAUCAGUAGCUGGUCUGAGAGGACGACCAGCCACACUGGGACUGAGACACGGCCCAGACUCCUACGGGAGGCAGCAGUGGGGAAUUUUGGACAAUGGGCGAAAGCCUGAUCCAGCAAUGCCGCGUGUGUGAAGAAGGCCUUCGGGUUGUAAAGCACUUUUGUCCGGAAAGAAAUCCUUGGCUCUAAUACAGUCGGGGGAUGACGGUACCGGAAGAAUAAGCACCGGCUAACUACGUGCCAGCAGCCGCGGUAAUACGUAGGGUGCGAGCGUUAAUCGGAAUUACUGGGCGUAAAGCGUGCGCAGGCGGUUUGCUAAGACCGAUGUGAAAUCCCCGGGCUCAACCUGGGAACUGCAUUGGUGACUGGCAGGCUAGAGUAUGGCAGAGGGGGGUAGAAUUCCACGUGUAGCAGUGAAAUGCGUAGAGAUGUGGAGGAAUACCGAUGGCGAAGGCAGCCCCCUGGGCCAAUACUGACGCUCAUGCACGAAAGCGUGGGGAGCAAACAGGAUUAGAUACCCUGGUAGUCCACGCCCUAAACGAUGUCAACUAGUUGUUGGGGAUUCAUUUCCUUAGUAACGUAGCUAACGCGUGAAGUUGACCGCCUGGGGAGUACGGUCGCAAGAUUAAAACUCAAAGGAAUUGACGGGGACCCGCACAAGCGGUGGAUGAUGUGGAUUAAUUCGAUGCAACGCGAAAAACCUUACCUACCCUUGACAUGGUCGGAAUCCCGCUGAGAGGUGGGAGUGCUCGAAAGAGAACCGGCGCACAGGUGCUGCAUGGCUGUCGUCAGCCCGUGUCGUGAGAUGUUGGGUUAAGUCCCGCAACGAGCGCAACCCUUGUCCUUAGUUGCUACGCAAGAGCACUCUAAGGAGACUGCCGGUGACAAACCGGAGGAAGGUGGGGAUGACGUCAAGUCCUCAUGGCCCUUAUGGGUAGGGCUUCACACGUCAUACAAUGGUCGGAACAGAGGGUUGCCAACCCGCGAGGGGGAGCUAAUCCCAGAAAACCGAUCGUAGUCCGGAUUGCACUCUGCAACUCGAGUGCAUGAAGCUGGAAUCGCUAGUAAUCGCGGAUCAGCAUGCCGCGGUGAAUACGUUCCCGGGUCUUGUACACACCGC
This 1367-nucleotide ribosomal RNA is filed under the name uncultured beta proteobacterium. RNAcentral's name for it is "bacterial SSU rRNA". It matches the Rfam family "Bacterial small subunit ribosomal RNA", at positions 27 to 1393 of the family's 1533-position model. Lineage: Bacteria; Pseudomonadati; Pseudomonadota; Betaproteobacteria. The record is from RNAcentral.